This 496-nucleotide ribosomal RNA is filed under the name uncultured bacterium. Its description in RNAcentral is "partial 16S ribosomal RNA". It matches the Rfam family "Bacterial small subunit ribosomal RNA", at positions 28 to 506 of the family's 1533-position model. The record is from RNAcentral.
GAUGAACGCUGGCGGCGUGCCUAAUACAUGCAAGUCGAGCGAACGGACGAGAAGCUUGCUUCUCUGAUGUUAGCGGCGGACGGGUGAGUAACACGUGGAUAACCUACCUAUAAGACUGGGAUAACUUCGGGAAACCGGAGCUAAUACCGGAUAAUAUUUUGAACCGCAUGGUUCAAAAGUGAAAGACGGUCUUGCUGUCACUUAUAGAUGGAUCCGCGCUGCAUUAGCUAGUUGGUAAGGUAACGGCUUACCAAGGCAACGAUGCAUAGCCGACCUGAGAGGGUGAUCGGCCACACGGGAACUGAGACACGGUCCAGACUCCUACGGGAGGCAGCAGUAGGGAAUCUUCCGCAAUGGGCGAAAGCCUGACGGAGCAACGCCGCGUGAGUGAUGAAGGUCUUCGGAUCGUAAAACUCUGUUAUUAGGGAAGAACAUAUGUGUAAGUAACUGUGCACAUCUGGACGGUACCUAAUCAGAAAGCCACGGCUAACUACGU